This 483-nucleotide ribosomal RNA is filed under the name uncultured bacterium. Its description in RNAcentral is "partial 16S ribosomal RNA". It matches the Rfam family "Bacterial small subunit ribosomal RNA", at positions 28 to 523 of the family's 1533-position model. The record is from RNAcentral.
GACGAACGCUGGCGGCGUGCUUAACACAUGCAAGUCGAACGAUGAAGCCGGAGCUUGCUCUGGUGAAUUAGUGGCGAACGGGUGAGUAACACGUGAGUAACCUGCCCUUGACUCUGGGAUAACUGCGGGAAACUGUAGCUAAUACCCGAUACGACCCUCGGAGGCAUCUCCUGGGGGUGGAAAGAAUUUCGGUCAAGGAUGGACUCGCGGCCUAUCAGCUAGUUGGUGAGGUAAAGGCUCACCAAGGCGACGACGGGUAGCCGGCCUGAGAGGGUGGCCGGCCAGACUGGGACUGAGCCACAGCCCGGACUCCUCCGGGAGGCAGUAGUGGGGAAUAUUGCACAAUGGGCGCAAGCCCGAUGCAGCAGGGCCGCGUGAGGGAUGACGGCCUUCGGGUUGUAACAAGUUUUAGCAGGGAAGAAGCGAAAGUGACGGUACCUGCAGAAAAAGCGCCGGCUAACUACGUGGCAGCCGCCGCGGUAA